RNAcentral lists this ribosomal RNA (253 nucleotides) under uncultured bacterium. RNAcentral describes it as "partial 16S ribosomal RNA". It matches the Rfam family "Bacterial small subunit ribosomal RNA", at positions 524 to 776 of the family's 1533-position model. The record is from RNAcentral.
UACAGAGGGUGCGAGCGUUAAUCGGAAUUACUGGGCGUAAAGGGCGCGUAGGCGGCUAAUUAAGUUAGAUGUGAAAUCCCUGGGCUUAACCUGGGAAUUGCAUUUAAGACUGGAUGGCUGGAGUAGAGUAGAGGGAAGUGGAAUUUCCGGUGUAGCGGUGAAAUGCGUAGAUAUCGGAAAGAACAUCAGUGGCGAAGGCGGCUUCCUGGACUCAUACUGACGCUGAGGCGCGAAAGCAUGGGGAGCAAACAGG